RNAcentral lists this long non-coding RNA (213 nucleotides) under Salvator merianae (Argentine black and white tegu). Its description in RNAcentral is "lncRNA (ENSSMRG00000023013.1)". Lineage: Eukaryota; Metazoa; Chordata; Lepidosauria; Squamata; Teiidae. The record is from RNAcentral.
CCCAAAGCUGCGGAGAGCUUGCCUUUGGCGGAGCCUUUUGCUACAUCACAUGAUUAGAUGACAUCCUCAGGUGAAAUUUUAACAUCAGUGGUGGGCAGAUUGAAGCACAGGCUUGACAGAGAGAAGGAAACUAGAAGGGAAAAGAAGAAAUGAAAACAAGAAUGACAAUCAAAACUAAAGAUACAGGGGCUGCUAGAGUAAGCCAACGAACAA